AUGGUCGAAUGCUUCAAUAGGGUGCUCAAAGGUGCACGUGGAUUACCCGUGACGGCAAUAGUUAAAUACACAUUUGACAAGAUGAAUGCGUACUUUCUAAAGUACUCGAUGGAAACGGAUGCACACAUAGCGGGUGAGAACCCGCGCAAGUACAAGUACAAGUUCCCACCCAAGGUUGAUGAAUGGUUGGAAUUUCAAUCACGGAAGGCAGACUCAGAAGAAGCUAUAUUAUAUGACAACAAAGAGUGGAAGUACGAAGUGAAAGAGCCAGGAGGAACCACAAACGAUGGUCGUCAACAUGGAGGUCGGGCUUUCAAGGUGUCAUUAACACAAUGUGAUUGCUCUUGCGGGAGGCCAUUGUUGCUUCAUCUCCCAUGCUCACACUUGUAUACCACCAGUCGAGUUAGGAAUGUGGACAUCAAUCACCCACGCACCAUGAGGGAGUCAUUCUCAAUCAUGACGGUCAAGAAAACAUGGUCUCCCCGCUUUCACCCAUACUUUGACCAAUCAAAAAGGCCGGAGUACCAUGGAGUUCAACUAUGGCCGGAUCCA
RNAcentral lists this ribosomal RNA (552 nucleotides) under Triticum aestivum (bread wheat). RNAcentral's name for it is "partial small subunit ribosomal RNA". The record is from RNAcentral. Lineage: Eukaryota; Viridiplantae; Streptophyta; Magnoliopsida; Poales; Poaceae.